GCUGGGUGUGGUGGCACACACCUGUAAUCCCAGCAGCUUGGGAGGCCAAGGCAGGAGGAUCGAAAGUUCAAAGCCAGCCUCAGCAUCUUAGUGAUGAAAGACCCUGUCUGAA
This 112-nucleotide small RNA is filed under the name Marmota monax (woodchuck). Lineage: Eukaryota; Metazoa; Chordata; Mammalia; Rodentia; Sciuridae. The record is from RNAcentral.